UACGGAGGAUGCAAGCGUUAUCCGGAUUCAUUGGGUUUAAAGGGUGCGCAGGCGGAUUGGUAAGUCAGGGGUGAAAUCCCACAGCUCAACUGUGGAACUGCCUUUGAUACUGUCAGUCUAGAGUAUAGUUGAAGUUGGCGGAAUGUGUCAUGUAGCGGUGAAAUGCUUAGAUAUGACACAGAACACCGAUCGCGAAGGCAGCUAGCUAAGCUAUAACUGACGCUCAUGCACGAAAGCGUGGGGAUCAAACAGG
This 253-nucleotide ribosomal RNA is filed under the name uncultured bacterium. Its description in RNAcentral is "partial 16S ribosomal RNA". It matches the Rfam family "Bacterial small subunit ribosomal RNA", at positions 524 to 776 of the family's 1533-position model. The record is from RNAcentral. RNAcentral also lists the same sequence under 1 other name.